GGAUAAUAAUUAUAGAAGUGACCCCAUAACUCUCCCGUUCCUCGAAAUUUUACCAUCCCCUUCCCUUCGCACAGCCAUGGCCAUCGCGUGCUUCGUCUCAUCCACGACCGCCUCCAUCCCAAAUCCUUCCCUCUUCAUCCCAAACGCUAACGCUAGGCCCAGUCACUCUAUCCUCCUUCCCAUUUCCCCUUCUCACAAAUCCCCCGCCAUGCGCUAUCAUCGCCGGUCGUCACAAACCCUAGCACUCCGUUGCUCCUCCGUCGCCACACCUCCGCUGCCUCUGCCCCACCUCAUUUCAGACUCCACCCGCACCCUCUCGUCCCUCAUCUCCCUCGCCCUAUCCGUCGUCCACCGCCUUUUCGCUGCAGCUGCGGCGUCCGUGGCGGCAACAGCCCCUACUCCGACUGAGCUUUCUGAGAUUCAAUCUCUGCGGGGUUCUCUCGCUUGCGGCGUUGGUCCGCUCUUCUUCGCCGCCCUCCGGGACCGGCCAAGUGGGUAUUUGAACACGCCGCUGACGGUGGUGGCCUCGGGAAUGAGCAAAUGGCUUGACAUAUACAGCGGCGUCCUUAUGGUGCGGGUCUUGCUUAGUUGGUUUCCCAAUAUCCCGUGGGAUCGGCAGCCUCUUUCUGCAAUUAGGGAUCUCUGUGAUCCCUAUCUCAACCUCUUCCGCAACAUAAUACCACCUAUUUUCGACACGUUGGACGUCAGCCCGCUUCUGGCUUUUGCAGUCUUAGGCACGCUUGGUUCGAUCCUUAAGAGCGCUCGUGGGAUGUACUAGGAUGACUUGAGAAUUUAAAAGCAGCUGAAGAACAAUCGAAGGAACAGAUAGUAGAUAGAGUUUAGAGCUUGGCCUUUUGCAAAAUGUGCAUAAUUUUUGAAGAAGAGCAUAAUCACACGACAAAUAUGUAGUUAAUGGCACUGAAAUAAACCACAGAUGAUCGGAGGAAUUAUCAAAUUUUGCUCAACUACAAAGGAAGCGAUAUGAAGGAAAACCAAUAAACAAUACUAUGAUUGUCAGUUCACAAGUACCUUAUUCAUUAGAAAUCUAACCCAUAUAAAGUUUUAUUCUGCUCAUAGUCUAGCAUUAAUUCUAUCAUUGCUUCAAACUUUUCCUUU
Molecule: RNA transcript, 1116 nt
Organism: Phalaenopsis equestris
Lineage: Eukaryota; Viridiplantae; Streptophyta; Magnoliopsida; Asparagales; Orchidaceae
Gene name: ylmG homolog protein 1-2, chloroplastic-like
Exons: 3
Source: RefSeq, a predicted model, not a curated record